UGGAAGUGCCGGCGGCGGAGGAGGAGGAGGCGGUGGUGGUGGAAACUCUCCAUCGCCGAAAAGGAGGCAUACUCCUAGGCCUCCAACGCCGCGUCAAUCCAGUUCACCAAAGUCCUUUACGAAAUCCCCUCCACCACCUUCUUCAAAGUCUUCGCCUUCCACUAGAUCACAUCCUCCACCACCACCGUCAUCCCACUCUUCACCAAUGCCUCCUUUCCAUUCCCCACCGUCGCCACCACCACCGAAUUACUCUCACUCUUUAACUCCACCACCCCCGACUCAAAGAGUGUCACCAAAGACGCAUCUUCCACCGCCACCUCCGCCUGUUCACUACGAGCCCAUACAAUCUCCACCUCCACCACCAAUGGUACAACCACCUGCACCAGCCCCAUCAGGCCAUUACUAUAGUGCACCACCACCACCAAACCGUUACUC
Molecule: long non-coding RNA, 435 nt
Filed under: Gossypium raimondii (Peruvian cotton)
Lineage: Eukaryota; Viridiplantae; Streptophyta; Magnoliopsida; Malvales; Malvaceae
Description: long non-coding RNA (GRAI_LNC009724)
Source: RNAcentral